Molecule: ribosomal RNA, 321 nt
Filed under: uncultured eukaryote
Lineage: Eukaryota
Description: partial 18S ribosomal RNA
Rfam family: Eukaryotic small subunit ribosomal RNA
Source: RNAcentral
CCCUUAGAUGUUCUGGGCCGCACGCGCGCUACACUGAUGAGCGCAACGAGACCACCUGUACCGAAAGGCAUGGGUAAACUUGUGAAAGUUCAUCGUGAUGGGGAUAGAUUAUUGCAAUUAUUAAUCUUCAACGAGGAAUUCCUAGUAAGCGCGAGUCAUCAGCUCGCGUUGAUUACGUCCCUGCCCUUUGUACACACCGCCCGUCGCUCCUACCGAUUGAAUGGUCCGGUGAAAUCUUCGGAUUGCUGGAUAGGACUUCAUUGACCUAUCUGCGAGAAGUUGCUUGAACCUUNUNAUUUAGNGGAAGGAGAANUCGUANCA